This 2060-nucleotide unclassified non-coding RNA is filed under the name Caenorhabditis elegans. Its description in RNAcentral is "Non-coding transcript of protein-coding gene twk-25". Lineage: Eukaryota; Metazoa; Nematoda; Chromadorea; Rhabditida; Rhabditidae. The record is from RNAcentral.
AUGCAAGCGAUGGAAGCUUUUCCGUCGCACUUUGAGCAAAAUUUGCUGAAGGAGUCAUCCCAUUUAUAUUCCGAACCAUCAACUUCAAAACACCUGACCCCAAUUCCUAUGCCCAGAUCCCCGACACAACCACUUAGAGCGACGAGUUUAUUUUCCAAUGAGAUUCGAAGACUGAAAUUACAAUCUGAAGAUAUAAAUGAAGAAUCAGAAAGCUGCUCAUCUACUUCACCAAAAAGUUCAGUUGGUGGAAAUUCGGAUUCUUCAAAUCCACAAGUUGCAUCACAUUCAGGAGAAUAUAAGAAUUCAGAUGUGAAGCAGUAUUCCAGCCAACAACUCUACGUCGAAAGUCAGCAGAAGCCGAAGAUGCGAGAAGCACUAGUUUAACGGAAAGUGAAAAUAUUGGUCGUACCAGAACCGGGAGCAUGUCAGAAGAUCAUAAAAAGCCUUUCAAAAGUAUUCUUCGGAACUCUCCAUAUUUAUCGAAAGAAGAUAUUUCUCAAUCAAAUGAGAGCACGGCGAAUCGUCAAUUUCUCAAAAAUCGGGCGUCUUCAUUGACAAGAAAAGAGAAAGAUAUUUAUAAUGAUCGUACAGAACCGGGCAAUAAUGACGUCAUCGACAACUACUAUGCGAAAAAUUACUACACUGUUACAGGAAUAUACCAGAAGAACACAAAUUUCCCAAGAUAUGCUGGAUAUGGUGGAGAUAACGAUGAUGACGAUGAAGCAGUCAGAAGAAAUUACAACACAACAAAUAGUAAAAAGACAAUGUCAAUGGCCCAGAGUACUCGCAGUGUUCCAAUUGUUCCUGUUAAUAACAGAUUCCACAAGUCGUUCUAUUGGUUUGCACAUAACCACAAAAAGAUAGGAUUCCGUCACGUCUGCAUGCUUCUUCUUGUACUUUUGUACACACUUCUCGGUGCCGCUCUUUUCUUUUCAAUUGAAUCACGCCAUGAACACGAGACAAUGCAUUUCCACAAAAGAAAACUGGAUCGAAUAAUCUAUGAAAUCGCUCAAACCCUUGAACUUGAAGUGUUAGACCCAAUGAAACUAACAAAUAUCACCCAAAUGGAAUACUUUAUCACGCGUGCUUACGUCAAACUACUGAAUGCCGAAGAUUUGUACUCUGGAAGUACUUUUUAUAAGCAUGAGGAUCCAAAAAAUUUGAAAUGGACAUAUGGAUCUGCGUUCUUUUUUUCAAUGAAUGUUUACACUACUACGGGUUAUGGAUCCAUUGCUCCAUCAUCUUCUCUUGGAAAAGCUCUUGUAAUUGUUUAUGGUUUGAUAUUUGUGCCCUUAACAGCCGUGGUAAUUCGUGAUCUUGGACAGUGGGCACUUCUAUAUUUAACCAAAAUGUACACUAUUCUUAUCGAUAGUUUCCGUCGAGUCAGAGGAUUUGUUGAUAAGCUCGAUGAAGAUGAGAUUAUCACUCUUCCCAUCAAGUUUAGUGUUUCUGUAAUGAUAUUAUACUUACUCUCCGCUACAAUGUUUAUAUUCGAAUACGACGAACUGUCUGGACCACCUGAUUCUGGAAUUUCAUUUUUCCAUGCUUUCUACUUUUCAUUCAUUUCAAUGUCAACUAUCGGUUUAGGAGAUGUUAUGCCAAAUAAUGUAACAUUCUCUCCAUUAAUCACUAUUAUGUUUUUCUUUGGAAUGCCGAUUCUUAAAGUUGUCAAUAGAGUUACGUAUAUUUGUCUGGAAAAUGGAGUUUUUGGAUCGAUGACAGUGCUUGAAAAUCGACUAGAUACCAUUUGGAGCAAGGCAACAGUAUUACCAACAGGCCAAGUGAUUUCUGAGCCACCAACGAUAGAUGUUGCAAGUCGGAAAACGUCGAUGUUGAGUGAAGGAAUGAUUCCAGAUGAAAACGAUGGUUCGGUUCCAAAUGAAUACCUGAACAACUUCACAAUUCGUUCCAUUGCAACAUUCAUGAAAGCCAACGGAGAUGUAUACGGAGGUGCAUUUGGUCGUGUGAAUAUCCGUCGAGGUGACAUACGGAACCCAGGGUCUGCUGCUGAUAAUCAAGCAACUGUUCGAUCAACUUCCCAAAGAGAGAAUAAUGUUUAA